RNAcentral lists this ribosomal RNA (547 nucleotides) under Cryptosporidium parvum. RNAcentral describes it as "SSU rRNA". It matches the Rfam family "Eukaryotic small subunit ribosomal RNA", at positions 488 to 1074 of the family's 1831-position model. The record is from RNAcentral. Lineage: Eukaryota; Apicomplexa; Conoidasida; Eucoccidiorida; Cryptosporidiidae.
AACCUUACGGUUUUGUAUUGGAAUGAGUUAAGUAUAAACCCCUUAACAAGUAUCAAUUGGAGGGCAAGCGGUGCCAGCAGCCGCGGUAAUUCCAGCUCAAUAGCGUAUAUUAAAGUUGUUGCAGUUAAAAAGCUCGUAGUUAAUCUUCUGUUAAUUUUUAUAUAUAAUAUCUCGUUAUUUAUAUAAUAUUAACAUAAUUCAUAUUACUUUUUAGUAUAUGAAACUUUACUUUGAGAAAAUUAGAGUGCUUAAAGCAGGCUAUUGCCUUGAAUACUCCAGCAUGGAAUAAUAUUAAGGAUUUUUAUUCUUCUUAUUGGUUCUAGAAUAAAAAUGAUGAUUAAUAGGAACAGUUGGGGGCAUUUGUAUUUAACAGUCAGAGGUGAAAUUCUUAGAUUUGUUAAAGACAAACUACUGCGAAAGCAUUUGCCAAGGAUGUUUUCAUUAAUCAAGAACGAAAGUUAGGGGAUCGAAGACGAUCAGAUACCGUCGUAGUCUUAACCAUAAACUAUGCCAACUAGAGAUUGGAGGUUGUUCCUUUACUCCCUAA